This 1304-nucleotide non-coding RNA is filed under the name Pan troglodytes (chimpanzee). The record is from RNAcentral. Lineage: Eukaryota; Metazoa; Chordata; Mammalia; Primates; Hominidae.
UCCACCCUCUUGCGGGCGAGCUCUGGCUACCAUUGGACUGUCCGGCGCGAGGGGAAGGGUGAUCUAUAAAUAGAGAAUGGGUACACGUGACAGUUUGGCAGCUGCUCCUACCCCUCCACCCCGCCCAACCUUCAGCUUCUGAGGCUGCGCAGGGGGAGAAAAGGGUUAGGGGGUCGAGCCCUGACUUCGCCUCCUCUUCCAAGAAGCCUUCCUAGACACUCAGCUGUAAAACCAGACGGACGUCCUCCGAUAAAAUUGUUUCUACUUAGGGCCGGCUUCACCGGCUUGGAAUCCACUUAGAAGGGUCUUCGCGCUUGGUUGAAUGUUCUGCAAUUUCUGUCUUGAAAUUUUUAGUUUUUGAGCAAGGGGCCCCUUAUUUUCACUUUGCACUAGGCCAAAUAUAUAGCCGGUCUUGCUGCUAAGAGUCUAAGAUCGAUUGCAUUCCAAAUUCUGGAAUUAUAAGACCCUGGGUGGAAGAUUCUAUGCUUUGACCAGAAGAGAGUCUAAGCAGCUUUUGUCUCCCAGGUGCUAGGAGGAUGUGUGCUCAUCAUUCUUCCAUUCCAGGGGCCUUUGUUCUACGUUCUAAGGGGCUUUGUUCUCAGCCUUCUAUGAUGCUCUAUUCUCAACGUUCUCUGGUCCUAGGAGUCUGAGCCUGACAUUCGUUUCCAAGGCUUCCUGCUGUCUCUCCAGGCUCCGCAAGCAGGGCUGGGGCACCCUCAGGCGGCCAAUCUGUAUCACUACGCCGAGCCUGCCUCUACCAACUUCCAAGACCUAGCUCUAAUAUUCACACUCAUCUCUCAGACAGACCUUGGCUCCCUAAAAGCCAAGGCCCAGAAGAUCAUACAAGAAAUUCCCUCUUUUAUGAUUCCCCGUGCACGAAGUGACCUUCUGGUGGUGAGAUGGAGAGAAAUUGAUAGUGGCGAUAGACAGCAAAGUCUCCAGGAGCCAGACUUCCUCGGGAAACUUGGGGCAUGUGUGGAGUGUGAGUGAGUGAGCUGCUGGAAUGAAUUGACCAGACAGGACAUCAUCUAUGUAUGGGAUUAGAAUGGAAUUACGGGAGAAAACCAAAUCCCUCAAAUUAGAAUUCAGGAUCGGAAAAAAAAUGUCAAGUCCAAUGUCCCUUUUCUUUACAGUAUAUACAAGUGUCUCUAUCAACAUUAGGUUUUGAGGCUGAGUGCAGUGGCCCACACCUGUAAUCCCAGCACUUUUGAGAGGUGGAGGAUCGUUCAACCCCAGGAGUUCAAGACCAGCCUGGGCAACAUAGUGAGACCCCAUCUCUAUAACAAAUAAAAAACAUGCCCGGG